This 644-nucleotide long non-coding RNA is filed under the name Capsella rubella. RNAcentral describes it as "long non-coding RNA (CRUB_LNC004726)". Lineage: Eukaryota; Viridiplantae; Streptophyta; Magnoliopsida; Brassicales; Brassicaceae. The record is from RNAcentral.
AGGGAAGAAAAAAAUGAACAUAGUCACACUAACUGAAUUUAUUUGCAACUUCCACCUUGACUACAGUUUUAUGGUUUAGAUCGACCUUAAAAUUUCCCUUUCCUAGUACAAAUGUUGUAGAGCCGUCUUAUAUAGCUUAAAAAAAAAAAAACAUAUUUUCUUCAUCAGAAGCUUAUAUAUGCUCAUAUGAUCCAAAGAUUAUAGACAUUACAUCUUUGAAUUGUACAUGACGCAAUUGUUCUUCUAACUCCCCUUUCACAACUAAAUUUAAGAAAAUUAUCAGUUUUUUUAGUCAUGGGUAAAGAAGAAACUGAAGGGUCAGUUUCCUUAGUUAUGGAUUCAUUUUUUUUUCCUUCUUCUCAUCUUCCAUGUAUGUGAUUUAUGUUAGUGAGCUAAUAAUCUGAUUUUGCAGGAAGAAGAGAAACAUAUUAUUGAAUGUAUAACCGAAGCCUCUAGAUAGGAAGUAGGUUCUGAUUUGCAAAUUUGGUUAAAAGUCAGAUAUCAUGUGCCUAUCAAUGCUAGUGGAUUUUCAUGGGGUGGAAGGGUUUACUAUUAACUACUAAGAAACAAAACUAUAAUCAAAUAUUCAGCUAAUUGGUGACAAGGACAUGGUCGGUCAUAUCUCUUUACAAUGAUCACACGCU